Molecule: long non-coding RNA, 8599 nt
Filed under: Lactuca sativa (garden lettuce)
Lineage: Eukaryota; Viridiplantae; Streptophyta; Magnoliopsida; Asterales; Asteraceae
Description: long non-coding RNA (LSAT_LNC007860)
Source: RNAcentral
AAUUAGGAAUUUAGUUUAAAACCCUACAAUAUAUCUCCGCCUCACGCUGAGGCAGGAGACUUCACUGUGGGUUUUCCUCAAGGGCGUCGACGUUUCCCCCAAAGCUACUUGCCAACUCGUGCUUGUGCUUGGACUUCAAGCAACGCCUUUCGUUCUGCGAUAAGCAAUUUCUGUUGUUGGUUAUAUGAAUACGGUUCAUGGGUUUUGCUAUUACUCACAAUUGAUGAUCCCUUUUCCUCCUACAUUUUGGUGGUAUCGGCUUCAGGGAAAUUCGCCAAGGUUCGUUUAUACCUCGAAAUAUUAGUAUCCCUUUCACUAUGGAGUUUCAAUUUUAACUUAUUGUGUUUAUAAUCUUCUGAUUAUUGACCUGAUUUUGGUUCUUCAUCUUGAGUGCUUUUUAAAUAUGCAAAUGAUAGUUUCUAUUUUAUAGUGGUUUUGAAUUUUUGUACUUUCAGUUUCGGCACUCCAACUGUUUGAUAUAAUGUCUAGGUGAAGUUUUUAACUUUUUUAUGAAAAUUUAAUAGUUUUAGCUAUGCUAGGUUAUGAUUUGAGUUUGAUAGUCUGUGUGAUAAACACACUUAGUAAUCUGUGUAUUUCCUGUGUGAAUCUCAACAAUAUGAGAAUUGAUAACUGGAUUGUCCAUCAAGAGUUUUAUGGAGAAGAGUUCAUGAGUGGUGAUGUCAAGAUUUUUUGCCCACAACUGGUAUUUCUUUAACUCUGGGGUAAUAAAGUUGUACAUUUUUUAAAGUAAAUCAAUAACUUUCUCUUAUAAAAUUUCCCUUCAUUUAACAUCUGUUGAUGACAGUUGCUCUUGAGGACUUGACUGAUCUUAACUCAUAAGGUUAAUAUUGUCCCCUAUUCCUAUUAAUCCUGUACCAAUUAGGAAUUCAUAAUCCAUUGUUAGUAGUAUUUUCUGAAGGUCCUUUUUUGACAAUCCCAUGGAACGAUGGAAGAAUCUUGAAUUACUCGAUGAUGUUCAUGUUGUUGAGAAAACAAAGUGUUGACCGGAAUAAGACAUAUCCUUAUCUAGGCGUGGAUUUGGUUUUUUUGUCUUUUUUUUUUGCGAUUUUUAAACAAUUUUCAUAAGUCUUCAUCAAUUCAGUUGGAAUUGAGAUCUUUAUCUGUGUUUCUUUCAAAUGGUCUGAUUGAUGCAGCAAAGGGACUGAUUCAAAUGGUCUGAUUCAUAUUUCAAUUUAUGUUUCUUUUCAUGAUUUAACACUUCAUUUAUGUGGACAAUACAAAUUCUUGACAAUGUUGAAUUCUGAAAAGGUAUCAAGUAUGUUUAUGUAGAUGAUUCAAUGGAUGAUAUUGGUGAGAUUCCAAUUCUAUUGGAAUGGAAUCACAUAUUCCAAUUCUGUUGGAAUCACAUAAGUUGAUGCUUGAAGAACGGACCACAAAAUUGAAACGGACCACAUUAUUCUUUUAGAAUGUAUUAGUCGUUGAUAGAUUUUGAUGUUUUCUUUCCCGUUUUGAAAGUUUUUUUAGUUUUAUUCUUUAACAAUAAAUGUAAUUCUUAACAAUUGUUACCUGUAUUUUAUAAGAAAUAAUGUAUUUUUUAUUUUUAUUCUUCAAUUGAGUGUUCAAGAAUUUGUUAUUCUACAAGAAGUUCUUCAAGUCAUGAUAAAAAAUAUGUUCCAGAAUAUUUUUAUUAUUUAUUGUUCGAGAAUAUUUUUAUUUUUUAGUAAAUAAUUAAAUAAAUCAACAUAUUCUGUCAGAAUGUCCGAAUUAAAAUAGUUAUAAUUCGUAAAAUCAGAUUUUUAAAAUUAAUAGAAUCUAUGAUCCCUUAAAAUAUGCAAUUUUCAUAUAUUAAAUCUGUAUUAAUUGACUAAAAUACCCUAGUAAUUAAAUUAGAUGAUAUUUUUCAAUUACAUUUAAUUCAAUAAUAUAUAUUAAUCACUUUUUUAAAAUAAGUAAAAUUGAUUGGCCCACAGUUAUGCAUACAAUAACACAAUAAUUACUNAUAUAUAUAUAUCCCCUAAUAUAAUAAAUAAGAGUAAUUUUGCCACGUGGCUUUCAAUUAGCCUAUCCGAAUCAAUUUAUCCCGUACAAAAUACCAAAGUGAAUUCUCUCCCUCCCCCCAAUACCCUUCUCCUUCAGCUUUAAUAGUUAUGCAUUUACGUUUGAAGUUUGGAUUGAUAUAGCAAAUUAUCGACGUUCCAAUUUGAUAGCAAGAAAUCUGGAAUUCCAUAGCAAGAAAUCAGUCAUAUCCAAACUUAAUCACUGAUUCUUGGAGGUAGAUUCUCUCUUAAACCCUAAUGCCCUUCCCUCUCCAUCAAUGGUUCGUUGCAUGAAAUGACUUCGAAACUCUACAUCCAGGUAAUUAGCCUUUGAUUUCGGAUUUGAACUAAGCUACAAUCGAUUUGGUGUAAUUUCUUUUAUGUAAUUGGUUUUGGAGUUGCGACAUGACAUGUCAUCCGUCCCCUUCAGCUGUUUUUCCCGCCUAAUUUCCCAAAGUGAAGUUCUGAAACUCUCUUACUUUUGUCUAGCUACUUUGAACUAAUCAAAGCAAAACCCCCACCGUCCUUUCACUUUCUUCAACCUGCUUAAAAUCGAAAAGCCAAUUUCGUCCUCCAUUGUAGUGGAAGGGUUUUUUCCAUGGUGAUUUUUUAGGUCAAACAUUUCUAUAUUAGGUAAGAAAAGGUAAUUCAUUUCACUUUGUUGAUCAUCGUCCCAUCAUCUUUUUACCGGUCUUUCAAUGCCAUCUUAUCAUCGUUGGUAAUAAAAUAUAAACCUUAUUUACUACUUUAUGUUUCAAUCUAUAUAACAAUCUCCAUCAAUUAGGACCCACACCCUCGCUAAGGCGCUAACAGAGCAGAGUGUUUGUAAAAGCUUGUUUUGUAAUUUUUUAAAAGCCCUGGACCGUGUAUGAUGAUUCUAAAAGACAUGGGAUCAGAUGGAUAUAUUGUUGUUGGGUUCAUGAAUUUUUCUUUUGAAUUAAAUGCUUUUGUUUGUGUAAAUAUGAUAUUUUCUAUAUGAAAUUGUUCCUUAAUUGGUAUCAGUUAUAAACAUAUAAAGUUAAAUCUAUUUAGUUUGUUUGGUUUCUUGCACAUAAGGUGUUUGAUGUAUUGUCUCACUAAGAUAUUUGUUCGGUUUUUAUUGUUGUAAAUUUAUAUAAGGUCUACUCUCUAGAUUUAAUUGAUUUUCUUGACCGUAGGCAUUCAACAAAUAGAAAAAUGUUUUGAAUUUUUAAUUUGGAUCUUUUAUUAAUCUGCAACUUUAACACUUAUAUGGAAAUGCGUUGUUAUUCUUUGUGCUAAAUGCAAGAAAUAACAAUAUACUUCUAUUUAUAUGUUUUAUUUAUACCGUCUCACUUUAAUUCCUUCCUAAUUAGCAUGGUAUUUUGAAAAAUCUUGAAAUAGAAUGAUCCUUUCAUUAAUUUUUUUAUGGUAAGUUGAUAUCAUCCUUUUUAGUGGAAGGAAUUUGCUGUAAUAAAAAAAAUAGUGUUGUUAAAGUUGAUGGAGGGAGUGAUGAAGCUACAAUGUAUACGGUAGAUGAUAGAGCUAAAAAGGGUACAUUUUUUUUGCUUAUGUCAACUAAAAAGCAGUAUUUUUCCAUGUUUUCUUGAUAAACAAUGUAAAUAUACUUUUAGAAAUGAAAGGAAAAAGUAAAUGACCACACAUCUGUAAAAGUUUAGGACUUAGGUUUUCCAUGAUUUUCUUUAUUAAUUACUUCUUUAAGUCAGAAAGAGCAACUUAAAUGGCAAACAAAACCAAAUUUUUUAUGAAGAAAAGUGUGUGCCAAAAUUAUGGUCAAAUGCAAUGAAAAACAAUGAAAUAAUGGUUAAGGAUGUACUAAUUUUGUUAAUUAGGUGCAUUUUGUUACAUUUAUUGUAAGAAAAAGCAGUGUUUAAUUUUACAACUUAUUUUUUACAUCGUAUUUCAAAGAGGUGAAAAAACUCAUAUAUUUGAAAGAUAUUAAGUGGUGUCACAUAGAUGAUCCCCAAGGGUUAUAAGCUUGUGUUUAGGCCUUUAAAUGGAUGCAUUUCCAAAGUUUUCUCCAUAUUAUGACAUUUUUAUGAUGUCAAGGACAUGGUUUCACAACUGUAACUGAAACUAUAUAACACUACAAAAUUUAAUAUAAUUUGUUUCUUGAAAAUGACAUAUGAAUUUCCAAUAUCGAUUUAUAAACUGCAUUCUUUUUUAUGUUAUAUUUUUAUGGUAUUUUUACUAAGUUGAUAAUAAAUGGGUAACAUAAUCCAUUCCAAAUUUACAUUAUGUCUUUAAGGGUGGUUGUAGCAUGGAAAGAAGCAAAUGUGGAAGCUAGAACUAUAAUUGCUAUAUUUAGGUGGGGGGAAUUGCACUAGCAGUUUAAUUAUGCUCAAUUUAUUUCAAGAGUAUUAUGUUAAACUUUUAGGCCUUACACAUAAAGUGUUCAAUAAAUAUUUUAGUUUGACAUAAGUAAAAAGCACAUGCAUAUCAUUGUAAGUACAUGUUAUAUAUGAAGCUUUAUUUUCUAUAACCUCACUUUAAUGAAAAUGAAAGGAGUUAGCCAUGUAAUUUUCUUUUAUUUUCUUUCUUUUUUGGGUGUGUGGAUAUGAAUGAUAGCAAAAAAUUGCAGCAUACUUUACCCCUUCAACCAACAUAGGCAAUAUACUUUAUUUUCUACAUAUAAAGGCAAUGUACUUAUAUCACUUUACUUAUAAUAGCAACAUGUUUUUAUUACUUUACACAUGUUGGAAAUGUAUUUGCAAUUCUUACCCAUAUUAAUUACAUAAAUUUUGUUCUUACUUAUUUUUUGAUAACUAAAGACAUCUUGAAUACAAUAUUAUAGUGAAUUUGGGAUAGAAAAUUAUUUUAUUAGCAACAAAUAUAUUUUAAUCUACUUGAUGAAGAAAAUUUGAUGGAUACAUAUGCAUAUUCAUAAAUAGACAAAAUUAAUUAGCAAUAGAACAUGUUUAUAUUGGUAAAUAUACGUACUAACCAAAGGUAAUCACAUGAUGAUAUAUACAAGUGAAAACACAUAUUUGACUAAAUAAGUUUUACCUAUCAUAUUUAUGUUUAGUAAUAAAAUCAACAAUUGAUUUUUGUUUGGUGUUAUUUUUAAAAACUAAAUAGUGCAAAAAACCAAAAUCUACAUAACAAGCACCAUAAGCUUAUAACAAGGUAUAUAUUAAUUUUAAGUUUUAACUAACCAUUAUAAAUUUAUAGACAAAACUUCCAGCUUUGUAAUUUAAUAAUUUUUUUAUUUUUUAUUAUCAAUAGUGUUUUUCUUUUUUAUCCGUUGUUUCCACGAGUUUUAACCUAGUGUGUGUGUGUGUGUGUGUAUAUAUAUAUAUAUAUAUAUAUACACACACACACACACACUAGUAGNNNNNNNNNNNNNNNNNNNNNGUUUAAAAUUCAACCCUAUACUAAUAUAAUAUUACAAGAUUAAUAUAUAUAUAUAUAUAUAUAUAUAUAUAUAUAUAUUAAAAAUGUCUCAAAUUAGGAGAACAAUACUUGACUUGACCAUAGGUUAGUUAAUAUACGUGGGUUAAUUUAAUCAAUCCCACAUUCCCACCGAUCCACGAUAUAUACUUUCGUCUGCAUUCCACCACCUCUUUCUACCUUCCAGUACCUUCGACAUCUAGCUUCCAUUUUCCUCUCCCAGACUAAGUCGUCGUUUCCAGUUGUGUUCAGUGAAUCCAAGUACCGAUGUUCCAUUUUCCAGGCUGAUUUGUAACACCUGUUUAUUUAUUAGUUAAAUAAAUAAAUUAGUGAACGAAUGGUAGCUUAAAAUAAAUAAAUAAACGUAUAGAAGCCCUAAAAUCAAGAAUAAAUGAGCAAGGCGUUAGUUCGAGGAGUUAAAAGUUAUAAUUAUAGAAGUUGGGGGAUGAAUUGUAAUUCCCGGAUUAGUUUGUAAAGAAUGUUGGAAGUUGAGAGUGAUUUGGUAAUUCUGGGUUUAAUUUGAAAUAAAAUCAUGAAGGAAGGGGUUAAAGUGUAAGUAUUGGAUUCAAUUUAAGAAUAAAUUAUGGAGGAGGGGCUGUUUAGUAAUUUUGGGAUUUAUUUUAUAAGGAAUUAUGGAAGGGAGGGCUAAAGGGUAACUUUUGGAUUUAAAUUGAAAAAGAUAUGGUAAGGAGGGACUAGAGGUGACAAUUUGUAGAAAGUUUGGAUGGGAUACGGGACUUUAAACCCCGUGCGUUCUUUCCCUCCCAUGUUUGGAUGAACAAACCCUAACCCUAUCUAGAGUUCUCUACAGCCACCACCAUGUUGGGAGCCUCCUCAGCCGCCUGCAUCAAGAACCAAUCACCCCACCUUUGUGUUUCCGAUCGAGUAAGACCGCCAGACGCCGCCAUUUCUCUCGUUGCCGACGACCAAGCCGUCACAACACUGUCACAAUUCCAUCGUGGGGGUGAUGAAGACCACCAACGGGAGUCCGUCCCGUUGUCGAUGCUGCUGUCAUUCGCGACCACCACACCUCCUUUUCAUCUUCUGCUGAUGUGUCACAUCGUGAAGACGAAAUCGUUGCUGCCGCUGUGGUCAAUCCCGAUGAGAGGAUGAAGCUGCCGCUCAUGUCGCUCACGGUUCCUCAACCCAUCACGUUCCUUCACCUGUGAUUCGUUCCCAAGCUAUAGCCGCCGUCGACCGCCUCCUUUGUUGCUGCUUGUCUAGGAACCAACAGAUCCGCCGCUACCACCACCUCACGGUGGUGGCUGCCAUCUCAGAUUCGCUAUUGCCACCGUCGGGAGCCACCAGGUGGUUGGCUGGUGGGUGAGCUACUCUUCAAAAUGUGUGUUAUGUGUGUUUGUCAAGUUGGAAAGCCGAGAACCGCCGCUGCCACCACAUGCCGCCGCCGGCCACCAGAUUAUUGUGUAUAGGUGUUUGUAUUAGUGUGUGUGUGCGUAAUUUUGGGGUUUUAGUGAUGUAAAUGUAACAAAAAUGGAAUAAAGAAAGUCAUAACCAUCACCGUGAGGUGGUGGCUGCCGCCUCCUGCCGCCACNACCGUGUUAGGUGGCAGUGUGCUUGUCUUGUGAGUUGACUCGAUUGGGGAUGCUUGAAACCCUAAUGGGCCCAAAGAAGCUCAAAUGGGCCCAACGAAGCUUAAUGUACUCUAAUGGACCCUAAUAAAACCCUAAUGGGCUUAAUGAUAUUAUAGUUGGCCUAAUAGACCCAAUAAAGCCCUAAUUGACCUAAAGGCCCAACAAAUUAUUAAAUGGGCUAGUAUUUGGGUUGGAAACCCUAAUUAGGGUUUGGAAAACCCUAAUGCCAUCAAAACCCUAAUUUUGGGGAAUUAAUCGAGACACACAGGAAUUAUUUAAUAACUUGAGAUAUUAAAUAAUAAACAUUGGCGGAAAUUAAUCUAAGCAAUAUUGGACUUAAUGGAUUAAAUCCUUAAUGGAUUAAGUCCUUAAUGGGUUAAGUAGGAAACUUAACCCUAAUCAUCAUUUUAUGUGAAACCCUAAUUUCACUUGGGUUUAUUGUUUGGCCUUUCUAUUGGGCCUUGAUGAUUGGGUUAUUAAAUGGGCUAUCCAAGAUCAAGCAAAUAGUCUAGAGUAAAUUAAUGGGCCUAGGGUAAGGCCCAUGUAAGGGGCUUGGGCCCAAUUUGGAAAAUUGGGCCAUAGUUUGGGCCUUAUUGAUUAUAUGAUGUUGGGCCUUAGAAUGAGACCAUGUAUAGGCCUAGGCCCAAUUUGGAAAAUUGGGCCAUGUGUUGGGCUUUGAUUCCUAGUUGAGUUUGGGCCUAUGGAUUGGGCCUUGGGCUUGAAUAAGCCAAGCUAGGGGUAAUGUAGUAAUUACCCAAAGAAUGUACUUAUGGUUAUGUAUUGGGACCCAAUUAUUAAUUGGGUGUUAUUUUGGUGUUGACAGUUCGGGAAUCUGUCAGCCAGCAUCUGGGGUCGAGUCUGCGGGACUUCAGCAAGUGUGGAAUUGUGUCUUCGGGACUUCAGCAGUGUGAGGUGAGUUACCUUCCAGUAGCGGUGGGUCUACGACCAUAAUGCCGACCCACCAGUAGGAGUUUUAUGUUAGAUGAUUGUCUUUGUGAUAUCAUAUAGGUUUGCUACCACCUGAUAUGUUAUAUGCUGACAUGAUAUGUUAUAUGUGAUAGUAGUAGAGUUCAGUUGUUAGGACCGAAGGGUAGGUCAGACACCCCAGAUAUGUCUGACGGUAUGUGAUGAUAUGUUUAUAUGUUGUCAUGAUAUGUUAUAUGUGAUAGUGGUAGUAGGAGGGGAAUAGUCCCCAAGUUCGGUUGUUAGGACCGAAGGGUAGUUCGGACACCCCAGGUAUGUCUGAUAGUAUGUUUGUGUUAUGAUAUAUGUGAUAGUAGAUGAGUGUGGGCGAUGCCCGUAUCUCAGAGAUAGUGGAGUGUGGGCGAGGCCCGUAUCUCCCAGCUAGCGGAGUGUGGGCGAGGCCCGUAUCCCCAUGAGUGUGGGCGAGGCCCGUAUCUCCUAGCUGUUCAUUAUAUGAUUGUAUGGAAUUUGGUAUAAUGGGGGAACUCACUAAGUUUUGUGCUUACGGUUUUCAGUUUUGGUUUCAGGUACUUCGUUUUCAAAGGAAAGGAGCCGGCUCGAUCGCAGCGCAUCACACUAUGUUUUCCGCACAUGAGAUCCUUGGGGAUUACGCUCUGAUAUGGUUUUAUGAUACUAUGUUUUGGAUUACUAACACUUGGGUUUUGACAUGAGACGUUA